UUUACCGCAACGAGUGCACGUCAUCAUAAUAAUAUGACACAUGGUGUUUACGAACUCACGAUGUUGUGCUUUAAUAAUAUAAAAAUUAAUCACGUAAAUAUUUUUCUCGAUAUUUUAAUUUUCCAUUAUACCAAGUUUUUCGUUGGCAGUUUGGCAGUAAAUUGUCAUAGAUCGUAUAAUAGUUUUACUGUGUAUUGGAUUGAGUAUUGGAGUCUACCACACUGGACCACAAUUCUAAAGCACUAGCGUGCAGGCGCAUGAUUCAAAUGACAACAUUACUGAAUGCAUUGAUAAGGUGCUUAAUGAAUUUAAUAUACAAAAGUAUACAAUAAUUAUUGUGAAAGACAACACUUCGAAUUUUGUAAAAGCUUUCAAAAUCAAAGACUUGAGCGUGGCCAAAAGAGAAAUGAUGUUAAUAUUGAAAGCGAGUGUGGAGAAUAUCGUAGAUAAUAUGCUAAUAGUGCUGACGCAAAAACCUUCCCUGGAGACAAUAGCAGUCCUAGAAAAAUCAAGCAAAUUCGUAUGAAUAAUUUGAAAAAAAUCAGACUUGAGCGUGGCCGAAAGAGGAACGACGUCUAUUGAACACGAGUGUGAAAAACAGAACCGACGUACCUUCACGGAAUAUACCACUGGAGUGACUGCUACGAUAUCGGAGCGAUUGACUCAUACCUCUCCUGUAUUUUUCCUGCAUGGUGGCUCAUCCUGGUGGAAGAAUUAAAAUAUUUUAAUACAACGCUCGAUACCGUGAUCGACUACGCAUCAACCUGUUCCUUAAACUUUUUAUGAACUGUAAUACUAGAUAAUUUUUCUAUUUUAUUCAAUUCUAAUUUUUAUCAAUUUUACUAAUUUUGUUGUAUUAUUAUAUAAAUGCAAAUUCAUUGUUCA
Long non-coding RNA from Rhopalosiphum padi (bird cherry-oat aphid), 885 nucleotides. RefSeq lists it as uncharacterized. The record is from RefSeq and is a predicted model, not a curated record. NCBI's taxonomy places the organism in Eukaryota, Metazoa, Arthropoda, Insecta, Hemiptera, Aphididae. The transcript has 4 exons.